GACGGAGGGUGCAAGCGUUGCUCGGAAUCAUUGGGCGUAAAGGGUGCGUAGGCGGUUUUGUAAGUCAGUGGUGAAAGCCCAUCGCUCAACGGUGGAACGGCCAUUGAUACUGCAAGACUUGAAUUAUUAGGAAGUAACUAGAAUAUGUAGUGUAGCGGUGAAAUGCUUAGAGAUUACAUGGAAUACCAAUUGCGAAGGCAGGUUACUACUAAUGGAUUGACGCUGAUGGACGAAAGCGUGGGGAGCGAACAGG
RNAcentral lists this ribosomal RNA (253 nucleotides) under uncultured prokaryote. RNAcentral describes it as "partial 16S ribosomal RNA". It matches the Rfam family "Bacterial small subunit ribosomal RNA", at positions 524 to 776 of the family's 1533-position model. The record is from RNAcentral.